UGGUGAAUAGCCGUUCUUAGUUCGUGGAGGGAUUUGUCUGGUUAAUUCCCAUAACGAACGAAACUCAAAUAUAUUAAAUAUAUGUUUUCAGGAUUAUAGUGUAGAAGCUUUUAUAGCCUUCAUCAGGGAACUCAGUAAAAUGCGUUAGUGGUUGAAUGUGUUUAAAGAAGUGGAGCCGUACCUGUUUGUUUGUCCUAUUAUAAGGACACUAGCUUCUUAAAUGGACAAAUUGCGUCUAGCAAUAAUGAGAUUGAGCAAUAACAGGUCUGUGAUGUC
RNAcentral lists this non-coding RNA (276 nucleotides) under Musca domestica (house fly). Its description in RNAcentral is "Eukaryotic small subunit ribosomal RNA". It matches the Rfam family "Eukaryotic small subunit ribosomal RNA", at positions 1278 to 1471 of the family's 1831-position model. The record is from Rfam by way of RNAcentral. Lineage: Eukaryota; Metazoa; Arthropoda; Insecta; Diptera; Muscidae.